Molecule: transfer RNA, 90 nt
Filed under: Candidatus Omnitrophota bacterium
Lineage: Bacteria; Pseudomonadati; Candidatus Omnitrophota
Also listed under: 1 other name
Description: Candidatus Omnitrophica bacterium tRNA-Ser
Rfam family: tRNA
About the family: Transfer RNA (tRNA) molecules are approximately 80 nucleotides in length. Their secondary structure includes four short double-helical elements and three loops (D, anti-codon, and T loops).
Source: RNAcentral
GGAGAGUUGGCAGAGUGGAUGAAUGCGGCGGUUUCGAAAACCGCUGUGGCUGCAAAGCUACCAGGGGUUCGAAUCCUCUACUCUCCGCCA